UACAGAGGGGGGCAAGCGUUGUUCGGAAUUACUGGGCGUAAAGGGCGCGUAGGCGGCCGCCUAAGUCAGACGUGAAAUCCCAAGGCUUAACCUUGGAACUGCGUCGGAUACUGGAUGGCUUGAAUUCGGGAGAGGGAUGCAGAAUUCCAGGUGUAGCGGUGAAAUGCGCAGAUAUCAGGAGGAACACCGGUGGCGAAGGCGGUUCUCUGGGCAUGUCCUGACGCUGAGGAGCGAAAGUGUGGGGAGCGAACAGG
This 254-nucleotide ribosomal RNA is filed under the name uncultured bacterium. Its description in RNAcentral is "partial 16S ribosomal RNA". It matches the Rfam family "Bacterial small subunit ribosomal RNA", at positions 524 to 776 of the family's 1533-position model. The record is from RNAcentral.